This 2899-nucleotide ribosomal RNA is filed under the name Escherichia coli. RNAcentral describes it as "23S ribosomal RNA". It matches the Rfam family "Bacterial large subunit ribosomal RNA". Lineage: Bacteria; Pseudomonadati; Pseudomonadota; Gammaproteobacteria; Enterobacterales; Enterobacteriaceae. The record is from RNAcentral.
UUAAGCGACUAAGCGUACACGGUGGAUGCCCUGGCAGUCAGAGGCGAUGAAGGACGUGCUAAUCUGCGAUAAGCGUCGGUAAGGUGAUAUGAACCGUUAUAACCGGCGAUUUCCGAAUGGGGAAACCCAGUGUGUUUCGACACACUAUCAUUAACUGAAUCCAUAGGUUAAUGAGGCGAACCGGGGAACUGAAACAUCUAAGUACCCGAGGAAAAGAAAUCAACCGAGAUUCCCCCAGUAGCGGCGAGCGAACGGGGAGGAGCCCAGAGCCUGAAUCAGUGUGUGUGUUAGUGGAAGCGUCUGGAAAGGCGCGCGAUACAGGGUGACAGCCCCGUACACAAAAAUGCACAUAUUGUGAGCUCGAUGAGUAGGGCGGGACACGUGGUAUCCUGUCUGAAUAUGGGGGGACCAUCCUCCAAGGCUAAAUACUCCUGACUGACCGAUAGUGAACCAGUACCGUGAGGGAAAGGCGAAAAGAACCCCGGCGAGGGGAGUGAAAAAGAACCUGAAACCGUGUACGUACAAGCAGUGGGAGCCUCUUUUAUGGGGUGACUGCGUACCUUUUGUAUAAUGGGUCAGCGACUUAUAUUCUGUAGCAAGGUUAACCGAAUAGGGGAGCCGAAGGGAAACCGAGUCUUAACUGGGCGUUAAGUUGCAGGGUAUAGACCCGAAACCCGGUGAUCUAGCCAUGGGCAGGUUGAAGGUUGGGUAACACUAACUGGAGGACCGAACCGACUAAUGUUGAAAAAUUAGCGGAUGACUUGUGGCUGGGGGUGAAAGGCCAAUCAAACCGGGAGAUAGCUGGUUCUCCCCGAAAGCUAUUUAGGUAGCGCCUCGUGAAUUCAUCUCCGGGGGUAGAGCACUGUUUCGGCAAGGGGGUCAUCCCGACUUACCAACCCGAUGCAAACUGCGAAUACCGGAGAAUGUUAUCACGGGAGACACACGGCGGGUGCUAACGUCCGUCGUGAAGAGGGAAACAACCCAGACCGCCAGCUAAGGUCCCAAAGUCAUGGUUAAGUGGGAAACGAUGUGGGAAGGCCCAGACAGCCAGGAUGUUGGCUUAGAAGCAGCCAUCAUUUAAAGAAAGCGUAAUAGCUCACUGGUCGAGUCGGCCUGCGCGGAAGAUGUAACGGGGCUAAACCAUGCACCGAAGCUGCGGCAGCGACGCUGAUGCGUUGUUGGGUAGGGGAGCGUUCUGUAAGCCUGUGAAGGUGUGCUGUGAGGCAUGCUGGAGGUAUCAGAAGUGCGAAUGCUGACAUAAGUAACGAUAAAGCGGGUGAAAAGCCCGCUCGCCGGAAGACCAAGGGUUCCUGUCCAACGUUAAUCGGGGCAGGGUGAGUCGACCCCUAAGGCGAGGCCGAAAGGCGUAGUCGAUGGGAAACAGGUUAAUAUUCCUGUACUUGGUGUUACUGCGAAGGGGGGACGGAGAAGGCUAUGUUGGCCGGGCGACGGUUGUCCCGGUUUAAGCGUGUAGGCUGGUUUUCCAGGCAAAUCCGGAAAAUCAAGGCUGAGGCGUGAUGACGAGGCACUACGGUGCUGAAGCAACAAAUGCCCUGCUUCCAGGAAAAGCCUCUAAGCAUCAGGUAACAUCAAAUCGUACCCCAAACCGACACAGGUGGUCAGGUAGAGAAUACCAAGGCGCUUGAGAGAACUCGGGUGAAGGAACUAGGCAAAAUGGUGCCGUAACUUCGGGAGAAGGCACGCUGAUAUGUAGGUGAAGUCCCUCGCGGAUGGAGCUGAAAUCAGUCGAAGAUACCAGCUGGCUGCAACUGUUUAUUAAAAACACAGCACUGUGCAAACACGAAAGUGGACGUAUACGGUGUGACGCCUGCCCGGUGCCGGAAGGUUAAUUGAUGGGGUUAGCGCAAGCGAAGCUCUUGAUCGAAGCCCCGGUAAACGGCGGCCGUAACUAUAACGGUCCUAAGGUAGCGAAAUUCCUUGUCGGGUAAGUUCCGACCUGCACGAAUGGCGUAAUGAUGGCCAGGCUGUCUCCACCGAGACUCAGUGAAAUUGAACUCGCUGUGAAGAUGCAGUGUACCCGCGGCAAGACGGAAAGACCCCGUGAACCUUUACUAUAGCUUGACACUGAACAUUGAGCCUUGAUGUGUAGGAUAGGUGGGAGGCUUUGAAGUGUGGACGCCAGUCUGCAUGGAGCCGACCUUGAAAUACCACCCUUUAAUGUUUGAUGUUCUAACGUUGACCCGUGAUCCGGGUUGCGGACAGUGUCUGGUGGGUAGUUUGACUGGGGCGGUCUCCUCCUAAAGAGUAACGGAGGAGCACGAAGGUUGGCUAAUCCUGGUCGGACAUCAGGAGGUUAGUGCAAUGGCAUAAGCCAGCUUGACUGCGAGCGUGACGGCGCGAGCAGGUGCGAAAGCAGGUCAUAGUGAUCCGGUGGUUCUGAAUGGAAGGGCCAUCGCUCAACGGAUAAAAGGUACUCCGGGGAUAACAGGCUGAUACCGCCCAAGAGUUCAUAUCGACGGCGGUGUUUGGCACCUCGAUGUCGGCUCAUCACAUCCUGGGGCUGAAGUAGGUCCCAAGGGUAUGGCUGUUCGCCAUUUAAAGUGGUACGCGAGCUGGGUUUAGAACGUCGUGAGACAGUUCGGUCCCUAUCUGCCGUGGGCGCUGGAGAACUGAGGGGGGCUGCUCCUAGUACGAGAGGACCGGAGUGGACGCAUCACUGGUGUUCGGGUUGUCAUGCCAAUGGCACUGCCCGGUAGCUAAAUGCGGAAGAGAUAAGUGCUGAAAGCAUCUAAGCACGAAACUUGCCCCGAGAUGAGUUCUCCCUGACUCCUUGAGAGUCCUGAAGGAACGUUGAAGACGACGACGUUGAUAGGCCGGGUGUGUAAGCGCAGCGAUGCGUUGAGCUAACCGGUACUAAUGAACCGUGAGGCUUAACCUU